Molecule: ribosomal RNA, 468 nt
Filed under: uncultured bacterium
Lineage: Bacteria
Description: partial 16S ribosomal RNA
Rfam family: Bacterial small subunit ribosomal RNA
Source: RNAcentral
GACGAACGCUGGCGGCGUGCUUAACACAUGCAAGUCGAACGGAAAGGCCCUGCUUUUGUGGGGUGCUCGAGUGGCGAACGGGUGAGUAACACGUGAGUAACCUGCCCUUGACUUUGGGAUAACUUCAGGAAACUGGGGCUAAUACCGGAUAGGAGCUCCUGCUGCAUGGUGGGGGUUGGAAAGUUUCGGCGGUUGGGGAUGGACUCGCGGCUUAUCAGCUUGUUGGUGGGGUAGUGGCUUACCAAGGCUUUGACGGGUAGCCGGCCUGAGAGGGUGACCGGCCACAUUGGGACUGAGAUACGGCCGAGACCCCUACGGGAGGCAGCAGUGGGGAAUAUUGCACAAUGGGCGGAAGCCUGAUGCAGCAACGCCGCGUGCGGGAUGACGGCCUUCGGGUUGUAAACCGCUUUCGCCUGUGACGAAGCGUGAGUGACGGUAAUGGGUAAAGAAGCACCGGCUAACUACGUG